Molecule: ribosomal RNA, 254 nt
Filed under: uncultured bacterium
Lineage: Bacteria
Description: partial 16S ribosomal RNA
Rfam family: Bacterial small subunit ribosomal RNA
Source: RNAcentral
GCAAGUCGAACGGAAACGAUGGAAGCUUGCUUUCAGGCGUCGAGUGGCGGACGGGUGAGUAACGCGUAAAGAAUUUGCCCUUCAGACUGGGACAACUAAUCGAAAGGUUAGCUAAUACCGGAUAUUAUGAGACCUUGGCAUCAAGGACUUAUGAAAGCUAUAUGCGCUGGAGGAGAACUUUGCGUUCCAUUAGCUAGUUGGUAGGGUAAUGGCCUACCAAGGCGACGAUGGAUAGCCGGCCUGAGAGGGUGAAC